RNAcentral lists this ribosomal RNA (497 nucleotides) under uncultured bacterium. RNAcentral describes it as "partial 16S ribosomal RNA". It matches the Rfam family "Bacterial small subunit ribosomal RNA", at positions 28 to 507 of the family's 1533-position model. The record is from RNAcentral.
GAUGAACGCUGGCGGCGUGCCUAAUACAUGCAAGUCGAGCGAACGGACGAGAAGCUUGCUUCUCUGAUGUUAGCGGCGGACGGGUGAGUAACACGUGGAUAACCUACCUAUAAGACUGGGAUAACUUCGGGAAACCGGAUCUAAUACCGGAUGAUAUUUUGAACCGCAUGGUUCAAAAGUGAAAGACGGUCUUGCUGUCACUUAUAGAUGGAUCCGCGCUGCAUUAGCUAGUUGGUAAGGUAACGGCUUACCAAGGCAACGAUGCAUAGCCGACCUGAGAGGGUGAUCGGCCACACUGGAACUGAGACACGGUCCGGACUCCUACGGGAGGCAGCAGUAGGGAAUCUUCCGCAAUGGGCGAAGGCCUGACGGAGCAACGCCGCGUGAGUGAGGAAGGUCUUCGGAUCGUAAGACUCUGUUAUUAGGGAGGAACAUAUGUGUAAGUAACUGUGCACAUCUUGACGGUACCUAAACAGAAAGCCACGGCUAACUACGUG